GUGGGGGAUAUUGCACAAUGGGGGAAACCCUGAUGCAGCGACGCCGCGUGAGUGAAGGAGUAUUUCGGUAUGUAAAGCUCUAUCAGCAGGGAAGAAAGUGACAGUACCUGACUAAGAAGCCCCGGCUAACUACGUGCCAGCAGCCGCGGUAAUACGUAGGGGGCAAGCGUUAUCCGGAUUUACUGGGUGUAAAGGGAGCGUAGACGGCGAUGUAAGUCUGGAGUGAAAGCCCGCGGCUCAACUGCGGGACUGCUCUGGAAACUGUGUUGCUAGAGUACAGGAGGGGCAGGCGGAAUUCCUGGUGUAGCGGUGAAAUGCGUAGAUAUCAGGAGGAACACCGGCGGCGAAGGCGGCCUGCUGGACUGCAACUGACGUUGAGGCUCGAAAGCGUGGGGAGCAAACAGG
RNAcentral lists this ribosomal RNA (405 nucleotides) under uncultured bacterium. RNAcentral's name for it is "bacterial SSU rRNA". It matches the Rfam family "Bacterial small subunit ribosomal RNA", at positions 354 to 776 of the family's 1533-position model. The record is from RNAcentral.